This 406-nucleotide ribosomal RNA is filed under the name uncultured bacterium. Its description in RNAcentral is "partial 16S ribosomal RNA". It matches the Rfam family "Bacterial small subunit ribosomal RNA", at positions 29 to 526 of the family's 1533-position model. The record is from RNAcentral.
AUUGAACGCUGGCGGCAGGCCUAACACAUGCAAGUCGAGCGAGCGGCGGACGGGGGAGUAAAGUCUGGGAAACUGUCUGAUGGAGGGGGAUAACAUCUGGACAAGGUAGCUAAAACCGCAUACCAUACGAUGUGCCCAGAUGGGAUUAGCUAGUAGGUGGGGUAACGGUCUACCUAGGCGACGAUCACUAGCUGGGCUAAGAGGAUGACCAGCCACACUGGAACUGGUACACGGUCCAGACUCCUGCGGGAGGCAGCAGUGGGGAAUAUUGCACAAUGGGCGCAAGCCGGAUGCAGCCAUGCCGCGUGUGUGAAGAAGGCCUUCGGGUUGUAAAGCACUUUCAGCGGGGAGGCGUGACCCGCAGAAGAAGCACGGGCUAACUCCGUGCCAGCAGACGCGGUAAUAC